RNAcentral lists this ribosomal RNA (325 nucleotides) under uncultured bacterium. RNAcentral's name for it is "bacterial SSU rRNA". It matches the Rfam family "Bacterial small subunit ribosomal RNA", at positions 28 to 334 of the family's 1533-position model. The record is from RNAcentral.
GACGAACGCUGGCGGCGUGCCUAACACAUGCAAGUCGAACGGGACUUAGUGGAAAGCGGCUUCGGCCAAUGGAAGCUAAGUUUAGUGGCGAACGGGUGAGUAACGCGUGAGGAACCUGCCUUUCAGUGGGGGACAACAGUUGGAAACGACUGCUAAUACCGCAUAACGUGUCUUGGGGGCAUCCCCGGGAUACCAAAGCUUUAUGUGCUGAAAGAUGGCCUCGCGUCUGAUUAGCUAGUUGGUGGGGUAACGGCUCACCAAGGCGACGAUCAGUAGCCGGUCUGGAGGGGAUGAACGGCCACAUUGGGACUGAGAUACGGCCCAG